RNAcentral lists this ribosomal RNA (340 nucleotides) under uncultured bacterium. Its description in RNAcentral is "bacterial SSU rRNA". It matches the Rfam family "Bacterial small subunit ribosomal RNA", at positions 29 to 361 of the family's 1533-position model. The record is from RNAcentral.
AUUGAACGCUGGCGGAAUGCUUUACACAUGCAAGUCGGGCGGCAGCGCGGGGGCGAACCCUCGGCGGCGAGCGGCGAACGGGUGAGUAAUACAUCGGAACGUGUCCUUGAGUGGGGGAGUAGCUCGGCGGAAAGACCGGAUUAAUACCGCAUAAGCUCUGAGGAGGAAAGACGGGGGACGUGGUAACGGCCUCGCGCUGUUGGAGCGGCCGAUGUCGGAUUAGCUAGUUGGUGGGGUAAAGGCCCACCAAGGCGACGAUCCGUAGCUGGUCUGAGAGGAUGAUCAGCCACACUGGAACUGAGACACGGUCCAGACUCCUACGGGAGGCAGCAGUGGGGAA